RNAcentral lists this ribosomal RNA (2687 nucleotides) under Salmonella enterica. Its description in RNAcentral is "partial 23S ribosomal RNA". It matches the Rfam family "Bacterial large subunit ribosomal RNA". The record is from RNAcentral. Lineage: Bacteria; Pseudomonadati; Pseudomonadota; Gammaproteobacteria; Enterobacterales; Enterobacteriaceae.
CCGAAUGGGGAAACCCAGUGUGACUCGUCACACUAUCAUUAACUGAAUCCAUAGGUUAAUGAGGCGAACCGGGGGAACUGAAACAUCUAAGUACCCCGAGGAAAAGAAAUCAACCGAGAUUCCCCCAGUAGCGGCGAGCGAACGGGGAGGAGCCCAGAGCCUGAAUCAGCAUGUGUGUUAGUGGAAGCGUCUGGAAAGGCGCGCGAUACAGGGUGACAGCCCCGUACACAAAAGCGCAUGUGCUGUGAGCUCGAUGAGUAGGGCGGGACACGUGGUAUCCUGUCUGAAUAUGGGGGGACCAUCCUCCAAGGCUAAAUACUCCUGACUGACCGAUAGUGAACCAGUACCGUGAGGGAAAGGCGAAAAGAACCCCGGCGAGGGGAGUGAAAAAGAACCUGAAACCGUGUACGUACAAGCAGUGGGAGCACAGGUUUACCUGUGUGACUGCGUACCUUUUGUAUAAUGGGUCAGCGACUUAUAUUCUGUAGCAAGGUUAACCGAAUAGGGGAGCCGGAGGGAAACCGAGUCUUAAUUGGGCGUUAAGUUGCAGGGUAUAGACCCGAAACCCGGUGAUCUAGCCAUGGGCAGGUUGAAGGUUGGGUAACACUAACUGGAGGACCGAACCGACUAAUGUUGAAAAAUUAGCGGAUGACCUGUGGCUGGGGGUGAAAGGCCAAUCAAACCGGGAGAUAGCUGGUUCUCCCCGAAAGCUAUUUAGGUAGCGCCUCGUGAAUUCAUCUCCGGGGGUAGAGCACUGUUUCGGCUAGGGGGCCAUCCCGGCUUACCAACCCGAUGCAAACUGCGAAUACCGGAGAAUGUUAUCACGGGAGACACACGGCGGGUGCUAACGUCCGUCGUGAAGAGGGAAACAACCCAGACCGCCAGCUAAGGUCCCAAAGUCAUGGUUAAGUGGGAAACGAUGUGGGAAGGCCCAGACAGCCAGGAUGUUGGCUUAGAAGCAGCCAUCAUUUAAAGAAAGCGUAAUAGCUCACUGGUCGAGUCGGCCUGCGCGGAAGAUGUAACGGGGCUAAACCAUGCACCGAAGCUGCGGCAGCGACGCUGAUGCGUUGUUGGGUAGGGGAGCGUUCUGUAAGCCUGCGAAGGUGGCCUGUGAGGGUUGCUGGAGGUAUCAGAAGUGCGAAUGCUGACAUAAGUAACGAUAAAGCGGGUGAAAAGCCCGCUCGCCGGAAGACCAAGGGUUCCUGUCCAACGUUAAUCGGGGCAGGGUGAGUCGACCCCUAAGGCGAGGCCGAAAGGCGUAGUCGAUGGGAAACGGGUUAAUAUUCCCGUACUUGGUGUUACUGCGAAGGGGGGACGGAGAAGGCUAUGUUGGCCGGGCGACGGUUGUCCCGGUUUAAGCGUGUAGGUGUGUGUUCCAGGUAAAUCCGGUUCACUUUAACACUGAGGCGUGAUGACGAGGCACUACGGUGCUGAAGCAACAAAUGCCCUGCUUCCAGGAAAAGCCUCUAAGCAUCAGGUAACAUCAAAUCGUACCCCAAACCGACACAGGUGGUCAGGUAGAGAAUACCAAGGCGCUUGAGAGAACUCGGGUGAAGGAACUAGGCAAAAUGGUGCCGUAACUUCGGGAGAAGGCACGCUGACACGUAGGUGAAGUGAUUUACUCAUGGAGCUGAAGUCAGUCGAAGAUACCAGCUGGCUGCAACUGUUUAUUAAAAACACAGCACUGUGCAAACACGAAAGUGGACGUAUACGGUGUGACGCCUGCCCGGUGCCGGAAGGUUAAUUGAUGGGGUCAGCGCAAGCGAAGCUCCUGAUCGAAGCCCCGGUAAACGGCGGCCGUAACUAUAACGGUCCUAAGGUAGCGAAAUUCCUUGUCGGGUAAGUUCCGACCUGCACGAAUGGCGUAAUGAUGGCCAGGCUGUCUCCACCCGAGACUCAGUGAAAUUGAACUCGCUGUGAAGAUGCAGUGUACCCGCGGCAAGACGGAAAGACCCCGUGAACCUUUACUAUAGCUUGACACUGAACAUUGAGCCUUGAUGUGUAGGAUAGGUGGGAGGCUUUGAAGUGUGGACGCCAGUCUGCAUGGAGCCGACCUUGAAAUACCACCCUUUAAUGUUUGAUGUUCUAACGUGGACCCGUGAUCCGGGUUGCGGACAGUGUCUGGUGGGUAGUUUGACUGGGGCGGUCUCCUCCUAAAGAGUAACGGAGGAGCACGAAGGUUGGCUAAUCCUGGUCGGACAUCAGGAGGUUAGUGCAAUGGCAUAAGCCAGCUUGACUGCGAGCGUGACGGCGCGAGCAGGUGCGAAAGCAGGUCAUAGUGAUCCGGUGGUUCUGAAUGGAAGGGCCAUCGCUCAACGGAUAAAAGGUACUCCGGGGAUAACAGGCUGAUACCGCCCAAGAGUUCAUAUCGACGGCGGUGUUUGGCACCUCGAUGUCGGCUCAUCACAUCCUGGGGCUGAAGUAGGUCCCAAGGGUAUGGCUGUUCGCCAUUUAAAGUGGUACGCGAGCUGGGUUUAGAACGUCGUGAGACAGUUCGGUCCCUAUCUGCCGUGGGCGCUGGAGAACUGAGGGGGGCUGCUCCUAGUACGAGAGGACCGGAGUGGACGCAUCACUGGUGUUCGGGUUGUCAUGCCAAUGGCACUGCCCGGUAGCUAAAUGCGGAAGAGAUAAGUGCUGAAAGCAUCUAAGCACGAAACUUGCCCCGAGAUGAGUUCUCCCUGAGACUU